GAUGAACGCUGGCGGCGUGCCUAAUACAUGCAAGUCGAGCGAACGGACGAGAAGCUUGCUUCUCUGAUGUUAGCGGCGGACGGGUGAGUAACACGUGGAUAACCUACCUAUAAGACUGGGAUAACUUCGGGAAACCGGAGCUAAUACCGGAUAAUAUUUUGAACCGCAUGGUUCAAAAGUGAAAGACGGUCUUGCUGUCACUUAUAGAUGGAUCCGCGCUGCAUUAGCUAGUUGGUAAGGUAACGGCUUACCAAGGCAACGAUGCAUAGCCGACCUGAGAGGGUGAUCGGCCACACUGGAACUGAGACACGGUCCAGACUCCUACGGGAGGCAGCAGUAGGGAAUCUUCCGCAAUGGGCGAAAGCCUGACGGAGCAACGCCGCGUGAGUGAUGAAGGUCUUCGGAUCGUAAAACUCUGUUAUUAGGGAAGAACAUAUGUGUAAGUAACUGUGCACAUCUUGACGGUACCUAAUCAGAAAGCCACGGCUAACUACGUGCCAGCAGCCGCGGUAAUACGUAAGUGGCAAGCGUUAUCCGGAAUUAUUGGGCGUAAAGCGCGCGUAGCGGUUUUUUAGUCUGAUGUGAAAGCCCACGGCUCAACCGUGGAGGGUCAUUGGAAACUGGAAAACUUGAGUGCAGAAGAGGAGAGUGGAAUUCCAUGUGUAGCGGUGAAAUGCGCAGAGAUAUGGAGGAACACCAGUGGCGAAGGCGACUUUCUGGUCUGUAACUGACGCUGAUGUGCGAAAGCGUGGGGAUCAAACAGGAUUAGAUACCCUGGUAGUCCACGCCGUAAACGAUGAGUGCUAAGUGUUAGGGGGUUUCCGCCCCUUAGUGCUGCAGCUAACGCAUUAAGCACUCCGCCUGGGGAGUACGACCGCAAGGUUGAAACUCAAAGGAAUUGACGGGGACCCGCACAAGCGGUGGAGCAUGUGGUUUAAUUCGAAGCAACGCGAAGAACCUUACCAAAUCUUGACAUCCUUUGACAACUCUAGAGAUAGAGCCUUCCCCUUCGGGGGACAAAGUGACAGGUGGUGCAUGGUUGUCGUCAGCUCGUGUCGUGAGAUGUUGGGUUAAGUCCCGCAACGAGCGCAACCCUUAAGCUUAGUUGCCAUCAUUAAGUUGGGCACUCUAAGUUGACUGCCGGUGACAAACCGGAGGAAGGUGGGGAUGACGUCAAAUCAUCAUGCCCCUUAUGAUUUGGGCUACACACGUGCUACAAUGGACAAUACAAAGGGCAGCGAAACCGCGAGGUCAAGCAAAUCCCAUAAAGUUGUUCUCAGUUCGGAUUGUAGUCUGCAACUCGACUACAUGAAGCUGGAAUCGCUAGUAAUCGUAGAUCAGCAUGCUACGGUGAAUACGUUCCCGGGUCU
This 1370-nucleotide ribosomal RNA is filed under the name uncultured bacterium. RNAcentral describes it as "bacterial SSU rRNA". It matches the Rfam family "Bacterial small subunit ribosomal RNA", at positions 28 to 1381 of the family's 1533-position model. The record is from RNAcentral.